RNAcentral lists this ribosomal RNA (860 nucleotides) under Escherichia coli. RNAcentral's name for it is "partial 23S ribosomal RNA". It matches the Rfam family "Bacterial large subunit ribosomal RNA", at positions 1 to 894 of the family's 2925-position model. Lineage: Bacteria; Pseudomonadati; Pseudomonadota; Gammaproteobacteria; Enterobacterales; Enterobacteriaceae. The record is from RNAcentral.
GGGUUGUGAGGUUAAGCGACUAAGCGUACACGGUGGAUGCCCUGGCAGUCAGAGGCGAUGAAGGACGUGCUAAUCUGCGAUAAGCGUCGGUAAGGUGAUAUGAACCGUUAUAACCGGCGAUUUCCGAAUGGGGAAACCCAGUGUGUUUCGACACACUAUCAUUAACUGAAUCCAUAGGUUAAUGAGGCGAACCGGGGGAACUGAAACAUCUAAGUACCCCGAGGAAAAGAAAUCAACCGAGAUUCCCCCAGUAGCGGCGAGCGAACGGGGAGCAGCCCAGAGCCUGAAUCAGUGUGUGUGUUAGUGGAAGCGUCUGGAAAGGCGCGCGAUACAGGGUGACAGCCCCGUACACAAAAAUGCACAUACUGUGAGCUCGAUGAGUAGGGCGGGACACGUGGUAUCCUGUCUGAAUAUGGGGGGACCAUCCUCCAAGGCUAAAUACUCCUGACUGACCGAUAGUGAACCAGUACCGUGAGGGAAAGGCGAAAAGAACCCCGGCGAGGGGAGUGAAAAAGAACCUGAAACCGUGUACGUACAAGCAGUGGGAGCACGCUUCGGCGUGUGACUGCGUACCUUUUGUAUAAUGGGUCAGCGACUUAUAUUCUGUAGCAAGGUUAACCGAAUAGGGGAGCCGAAGGGAAACCGAGUCUUAACUGGGCGUUAAGUUGCAGGGUAUAGACCCGAAACCCGGUGAUCUAGCCAUGGGCAGGUUGAAGGUUGGGUAACACUAACUGGAGGACCGAACCGACUAAUGUUGAAAAAUUAGCGGAUGACUUGUGGCUGGGGGUGAAAGGCCAAUCAAACCGGGAGAUAGCUGGUUCUCCCCGAAAGCUAUUUAGGUAGCGCCUCGUGAAUUCAUC